RNAcentral lists this ribosomal RNA (510 nucleotides) under uncultured bacterium. Its description in RNAcentral is "bacterial SSU rRNA". It matches the Rfam family "Bacterial small subunit ribosomal RNA", at positions 29 to 484 of the family's 1533-position model. The record is from RNAcentral.
AACGAACGCUGGCGGCGUGGCUAAGGCAUGCAAGUCGUACGGGGCUGGAUCGGUAGCAAUAUCGGUUCAGUUCAGUGGCGGACGGGUGAGUAAUACAUAGGUAACGUGCCUUGUGCUCGGGGAUACCGUCGGGCCCGCAAGGGUCCUUUGCGAAAGUGACGUUAAUACCUGAUGACGUCUUUGGGUCGCAUGGCUCGAAGACCAAAGGUGGGGACCGUAAGGCCUACCGGCACGAGAUCGGCCUAUGCCCUAUCAGCUUGUUGGUGAGGUAACGGCUUACCAAGGCUCUGACGGGUAGCCGGCGUGAGAGCGCGACCGGCCACAUCGGGACUGAGACACUGCCCGGACACCUACGGGUGGCUGCAGCAACGAAUAUUCCGCAAUGGGCGCAAGCCUGACGGAGCGACGCCGCGUGGAGGAUGAAGUCCUUCGGGAGUGUAACUACCAACUAAGUUUGUCCAGGAAGCAACCUGGCCUAACUACGUCGGGAAGUUAGACCAGCAGACGAAA